RNAcentral lists this unclassified non-coding RNA (332 nucleotides) under soil metagenome. Its description in RNAcentral is "partial contains 5.8S ribosomal RNA, internal transcribed spacer 2, and large subunit ribosomal RNA". The stretch from base 1 to 120 matches the Rfam family "5.8S ribosomal RNA", at positions 35 to 154 of the family's 154-position model. The record is from RNAcentral.
GAUGAAGAACGUAGCGAAAUGCGAUAAGUAAUGUGAAUUGCAGAAUUCAGUGAAUCAUCGAAUCUUUGAACGCACAUUGCGCCCGCCAGUAUUCUGGCGGGCAUGCCUGUCCGAGCGUCAUUUCAACCAUCAAGCCCCGGGCUUGUGUUGGGGACCUGCGUCCGACGCAGGCCCUGAAAACCAGUGGCGGGCUCGCUGUCCACACCGAGCGUAGUAACUAACCUCGCUAUGGAGUGGCGCGGGCGCCUGCCGUAAAACCCCCAAUUUUUACAAGGUUGACCUCGGAUCAGGUAGGAAUACCCGCUGAACUUAAGCAUAUCAAUAACGGAGGA